Molecule: ribosomal RNA, 216 nt
Filed under: Glomeromycotina sp.
Lineage: Eukaryota; Fungi; Glomeromycota
Description: partial small subunit ribosomal RNA
Rfam family: Eukaryotic small subunit ribosomal RNA (bases 40-216)
Source: RNAcentral
GGGUCAGUAGGUUGGUCGUGCCACCGGUACGUACUGGUCUCACUGAUUCCUCCUUCUUGAAGAACCGUAAUGCCAUUAAUUUGGUGUUGCGGGGAAACAGGACUGUUACUUUGAAAAAAUUAGAGUGUUUAAAGCAAGCUAACGCUUGAAUACAUUAGCACGGAAUAAUGAAAUAGGACGAUCGAUCCUAUUUUGUUGGUUUCUAGGAUUGACGUA